This is a long non-coding RNA of Melanotaenia boesemani (Boeseman's rainbowfish), 639 nucleotides long. RefSeq lists it as uncharacterized. Lineage: Eukaryota; Metazoa; Chordata; Actinopteri; Atheriniformes; Melanotaeniidae. The record is from RefSeq and is a predicted model, not a curated record. The transcript has 5 exons.
CGGUCUCUGCUGUGCGCCUGGUCGUCGGAUAAGAUGGAGGUGAAGAGACGUCCUGCUCGCGCUGAAGUCAGUGGCGUUUGUGAAGAAUUCAAAUGAGAACCAAGUGUUUUUUAAACGUCCAGAACCGAAUCAGGAGCGAGGUUCUGUGGUUGUUUCUGUGGGACCGGGACGGACCGGAAGGCGGCAGGACCAGAAGCUCGGUGCCUAGCACGUGGCAUGGCGACCGGGCUGGAUGAUGUCUUCAUUCAGGCUCAAGAUCUGAGAGAAGAUCCAGACUGAAGUCAUCAGACUGGUGGACCAGAUGGUCACAUUUUAAACUGCAUACAGGACGAUGCUGCGAACACAUGUCUGAGUUUGUGUGGGAGAUGAUCAGAUGACCCUGAAGAGGAAGAUGAGGAUGUCCAUCAGGGGUCAGCAGAUGGAAGGGGACCCUCCAGGUCACACACACGGAUGGCGGCUGGCCAGUCAUGUUCAUAUGUGAGGACUCAGGACUGCAGCUUCUGGUCGUCGCGGUAACGGGGAGGAUGGUCUUGUACUUCUGAAAAGUUACAACCUGGAAGUGUUUAAAUUCCAUGUUUUAUUUUUUUACGAAUGUCAGACAUGUUGAUUUUGUAUGUGAAAUAAAGUAUUAAACUCAGG